AGGGAUAAACGCUGGCGGCGUGCAUAACACAUGCAAGUCGAACGAUGAAACUUAGAUGAUUUCUUCGGAAUGAACUUAAGCGGAUUAGUGGCGAACGGGUGAGUAACACGUGAGUAACCUGCCUUACACAAGGGGAUAGCCUUUGGAAACGAAGAAUAAUACCCUAUAACGUCAAUUUAUCGCAUGAUAGAAUGACCAAAGAUUUAUCGGUGUAAGAUGGACUUGCGUCUGAUUAGCUAGUUGGUGAGAUAAAGGCCCACCAAGGCAACGAUCAGUAGCCGGCUUGAGAGAGUGUACGGCCACAUUGGGACUGAGACACGGCCCAAACUCCUACGGGAGGCAGCAGUGGGGAAUUUUGCACAAUGAGGGAAACCCUGAUGCAGCGACGCCGCGUGAUUUAGAAGGCCUUCGGGUUGUAAAAAUCUUUUUUAUGGGAUGAAAAUGACAGUACCAUAAGAAUAAGGUCCGGCUAAAUACGUGCCAGCAGCCGCGGUAAUACGUAUGGACCGAGCGUUGUCCGGAAUCAUUGGGCGUAAAGGGUACGUAGGCGGCCCAGUAAGUUAGAAGUGAAAUAAUAUAGCUCAACUAUAUAAAGCUUUUAAAACUGCUAGGCUUGAGAGAUGGAAGGGAAAGUGGAAUUCCUAGUGUAGCGGUGAAAUGCGCAGAUAUUAGGAAGAAUACCGGUGGCGAAGGCGACUUUCUGGUCAUCAUCUGACGCUGAGGUACGAAAGCGUGGGUAGCAAACAGGAUUAGAUACCCUGGUAGUCCACGCUGUAAACGAUGAGUGUUAGGUUCUUGGAAUAAUCUGGGAGCCGCAGCUAACGCAUUAAACACUCCGCCUGGGGAGUACGCACGCAAGUGUG
Molecule: ribosomal RNA, 863 nt
Filed under: uncultured Clostridia bacterium
Lineage: Bacteria; Bacillati; Bacillota; Clostridia
Description: bacterial SSU rRNA
Rfam family: Bacterial small subunit ribosomal RNA
Source: RNAcentral